CAGGUCCUCCAGUCUCUCUGAUAGUGUUGGUCUCUGCUGCUGCUGCUGCUGGAUUUCUGUUGAUUAUAGUUACAGUCGUGAUCUGCUGCAUCUGCUGGAAACAUGAAAAAACAGUCCAGACCCUGGAGGAAAACACUGAUUCGGCAGUGUGUAAUCCAACAACACGAAAAACAAGAUCAAAGAUAGAGGCUGUGUAUGAAAAUGUCCCCCAAAAAUGGCGAUCCAAUACUGAAAUUGAUGUUUGAGCUCAUACGGUCACGGAUUCACAACUUUUGGUUGAAUGCUGUAUAA
Molecule: long non-coding RNA, 291 nt
Organism: Megalobrama amblycephala (Wuchang bream)
Lineage: Eukaryota; Metazoa; Chordata; Actinopteri; Cypriniformes; Xenocyprididae
Exons: 3
Source: RefSeq, a predicted model, not a curated record